This 266-nucleotide ribosomal RNA is filed under the name uncultured bacterium. RNAcentral describes it as "partial 16S ribosomal RNA". It matches the Rfam family "Bacterial small subunit ribosomal RNA", at positions 57 to 305 of the family's 1533-position model. The record is from RNAcentral.
GCAAGUCGAACGGAAACAGGACGCUGUGAUCUCUUCGGAGUGAACUUGUCGCUGUCGAGUGGCGGACGGGUGAGUAAUGCAUAGGAAAUUGCCUUGAAGUGGGGGAUAGCCCGGAGAAAUCCGGAUUAAUACCGCAUGUGCUCUACGGAGCAAAGUGGGCCUCUGAUUUAAGCUCAUGCUUUGAGAUAUGCCUAUGUCGGAUUAGCUUGUUGGUGGGGUAAAAGCCUACCAAGGCGACGAUCCGUAGCCGACCUGAGAGGGUGAUC